UUUUGUUAGCUCCCUAGGGACAUCAGAGAUGACAAGGAGAACAAAAGAAGGCAGAGAAUGAAUUACAGAGGAGCCUGGAAAAGGGCUCUUAAUAGUCUGCGUCAUGAAACCACGUGACCAUAGUUGAGCCACCACGUGGCUCUGAGCCUCCCGCUACCCAAGAGGAGAGAGAAAAGCCUGCAUUUGCCUCACAGGACUGACUAUUUUGAUGGGGUCAGUUCACCUAAGGAGGAAAUACUCCCAUACUUUAUAUGCAGAACCUGCAGUUAAGCUGGCCAAGUCUUGGGGCAUUGCCCGUGUAUUGAGGAACAUCCUGCCAGAAGGCAAUUGAAGAACAGGAGAGAAGAAUUUCAGCGCCCAGCUCAACCAGCACAUUCCUCUGGCUGCUCUCGUGUGUUUCCUCAGCUGGGUGCCUUUCUUGGUGAAUGAGAGAAAGUGUGAGGAUUAGUGAACAGCUUGCUUGGGACACUGAUGAAACCACUUCCCAUGGCCACUUGGAGAUCUUACAUCAUCUUUGUGGUGGCUUGACCCAGGAAAUCCUCUGGAGAAACCAUAAUAUCCCUCAGAGGAUUUUUUCAGUUCUCAUCAAGAGGUGAAGCAUUUCAAGGAAUGUUUACAGAAAGGGGACAGGGAAGAGGAAAGGAGGAAGAAAGAGUAAUGUGGAGGAGGCGGAGGCAGAGGCAGAGGUAAUAGUAAGACUUGGGCUAGUGACAAAGAGGAAAUUAGUGUGAAAUGAUAAAAAACCAAAGAACCAGCUGCUAAGAAAGGAAACUCCAUGGAAAAUCCAAAGAAAGGUAAUGCCGUGAGGGGAGAGAGAAAGAGGCUCAGACGGAAGGUCAGUGCUCCUAGUGACCAAAAUGUCUGGAUUUCAGUCAGGACCAGACUCCCUAGUUUCUAUUGUGAUCUGAUUAUGUACUUAUUUAAAACAGCAUUAAUGUUUGCCAACAAAUGUCAGCACAGUGGCUGGCCCAGGACACAGGAGUCUGGAAGGUGGACCAGCCAAUUGGAGCAGGGGAGUCUUUUUGGGCACCCAGUGCGCCAGGCCAUGUGGUGCCUAGUCCCUGGGUGGUGGCUUUCCAUGAUAUUAAACCAUCACUUUGCCCCUGUUGACUGAAGUUUUAGCUAGGUUGCUGAGAUGAUUGGCUGAGUUGGGGUCCAGGGGCUGGCUGGACUGACCUAGGCGACAGCCCAGAAGCCAGGAGUCUGGCUGUAGAAUUUAUUGCUCUCCAAAAGAAUACAGCAGGAAAAGAAACCAGUGAGAAAGCUCUCGGCUUGUUUAUUAUGGUGGCUGGUGUCUGCCGUUGGCUGGCUCACAUGUGCAGAAUCAGAUGUUAACACCUGUAGUACCAACACCAUGCGACAGGUCUGGGGAAGAGAUGGCGUAGAUCCUACUGCUCUUAUUGGCUGUCUCUGAAGCAUCCUGAUCAUGUUUGCUGGCCCUACGUACUUCCUGGGGUGAGGAUUGUGGAGUCACAAAGCAGGAGUGUUGAAAAGCAUCCUGAGUCUUCUGGAGAGAAAAGGAAAGAAACAUUCAAUGAAGAUUUUCUGUAUCCCAGGGAAUUCACAUGUCUUCACCGAUCAGGUUUUUCUCGAAGUCUACAAUAGGCAGUAUUAGCUCCCUUUAUAGGGGAUACUCAAAGGUUUCUGAGAUUCAGAGAGAUUGUGU
Manis javanica (Malayan pangolin) is the source of this 1666-nucleotide non-coding RNA. Lineage: Eukaryota; Metazoa; Chordata; Mammalia; Pholidota; Manidae. The record is from RefSeq and is a predicted model, not a curated record.